GGGACGAUAAGGCCUUUCGAGUCUCUUGGAAGAACGAUAUCGGGCAUUACCGAUUAUAUUACUUGAACGAUCUGGUACACUUGCCAAUGAGUCAACAAGCUCCUAAUGUUCGCUGCUCGGUGAGGAACGUUCUCCAUCAACUCUCACUCGAGUCCUUCCGACCUACAUAACGUUCUAAGUGAACUCUAGCUUUCGACGCUCG
This 202-nucleotide long non-coding RNA is filed under the name Vigna radiata. Its description in RNAcentral is "long non-coding RNA (VRAD_LNC002869)". The record is from RNAcentral. Lineage: Eukaryota; Viridiplantae; Streptophyta; Magnoliopsida; Fabales; Fabaceae.